This 253-nucleotide ribosomal RNA is filed under the name uncultured bacterium. Its description in RNAcentral is "partial 16S ribosomal RNA". It matches the Rfam family "Bacterial small subunit ribosomal RNA", at positions 524 to 776 of the family's 1533-position model. The record is from RNAcentral.
GACAGAGGGUGCAAACGUUGUUCGGAAUUACUGGGCGUAAAGCGCGUGUAGGCGGCUUGGCAAGUCGGGUGUGAAAGCCCCGGGCUCAACCUGGGAAGUGCACUCGAAACUGCUUGGCUUGAGUACUGGAGAGGGAAGCGGAAUUCUCGGUGUAGAGGUGAAAUUCGUAGAUAUCGAGAGGAACACCGGUGGCGAAGGCGGCUUCCUGGACAGUGACUGACGCUGAGACGCGAAAGCGUGGGGAGCAAACAGG